CAUGCAGCCAUAGGUCCUAAUGCAUGCAGCCAUAGGCCCUAAUACAUGCAGCCAUAGGUCCUAAUACAUGCAGCCAUAGGCCCUAAUACAUGCAGCCAUAGGCCCUAAUACAUGCAGCCAUAGGUCCUAAUACAUGCAGCCAUAGGUCCUAAUACAUGCAGCCAUAGGUCCUAAUGCAUGCAGCCAUAGGCCCUAAUGCAUGCAGCCAUAGGCCCUAAUGCAUGCAGCCAUAGGCCCUAAUGCAUGCAGCCAUAGGCCCUAAUGCAUGCAGCCAUAGGCCCUAAUACAUGCAGCCAUAGGCCCUAAUGCAUGCAGCCAUAGGUCCUAAUACAUGCAGCCAUAGGUCCUAAUGCAUGCAGCCAUAGGCCCUAAUGCAUGCAGCCAUAGGCCCUAAUGCAUGCAGCCAUAGGCCCUAAUGCAUGCAGCCAUAGGCCCUAAUACAUGCAGCCAUAGGCCCUAAUGCAUGCAGCCAUAGGUCCUAAUGCAUGCAGCCAGCCAUAGGCCCUAAUGCAUGCAGCCAUAGGCCCUAAUACAUGCAGCCA
Molecule: long non-coding RNA, 542 nt
Organism: Oncorhynchus keta (chum salmon)
Lineage: Eukaryota; Metazoa; Chordata; Actinopteri; Salmoniformes; Salmonidae
Exons: 3
Source: RefSeq, a predicted model, not a curated record